This is a long non-coding RNA of Galleria mellonella (greater wax moth), 487 nucleotides long. RefSeq lists it as uncharacterized. Lineage: Eukaryota; Metazoa; Arthropoda; Insecta; Lepidoptera; Pyralidae. The record is from RefSeq and is a predicted model, not a curated record. The transcript has 3 exons.
UGCAAGUGCUAAGUGGGUAACGUAUCCCUUCAUGGGCAACGUUAACCACUUAGCACUUUCCAGCCCACCAUGGAGCUUAACAAAAAGAGACUGGAGAGGACCAGCCGAGUAGGCGAGCCGAAUGACUGGAGGCGACCACGACGGCAGCUACUGUUGGAGCGGCUCUGGUCGCCACGGCAUUCUGCAUCGUGACGUCCAAAACGUGGUGGGAGUUUUGGGGGCUCACCCCAACUUGGUGUCGUGGGCGUAAGCAGGGGCAGAAGCAGGGACAGGAAUGGGCGAGGGCGUGGAAAUGGGCGGAUAAUUUUUAAUGACUUAACGACUUCACACGCUUGACUGAACUGUGACCAGUCAAGCUUGUGGCCCGAAAGAUUGGAGGCGACCGUGAAGACCUCCGCUGCUGGUGCAGUUCCGGUCGCCAUGACAUUCUACAUCAGGACAUUUAAAGCUUGAAGAGAGAACAGGAGCUCACCCUAAGUUGGUACCG